CCUACGGGAGGCAGCAGUGGGGGAUAUUGGACAAUGGGCGGAAGCCUGAACCAGCCAAGUAGCGUGCGGGAUGAAGGCCCUACGGGUCGUAAACCGCUUUUGCACGGGGAUAACAGCCUCCACUUGUGGCGGUCUGCAGGUACCGUGCGAAUAAGGGCCGGCUAAUUCCGUGCCAGCAGCCGCGGUAAUACGGAAGGCCCAAGCGUUAUCCGGAUUCAUUGGGCUUAAAGGGUGCGUAGGCGGUCGGUCAAGUCAGCUGUAAAAUCGCGUGGCUCAACCGCGCCCCGCAGUUGAAACUGGACGCCUUGAGUGCACUACAGGCAGGCGGAAUUCGUGGUGUAGCGGUGAAAUGCAUAGAUAUCACGAGGAACCCCGAUUGCGAAGGCAGCCUGCCGGGGUGCGACUGACGCUGAGGCUCGAAGGUGCGGGUAUCAAACAGGAUUAGAUACCCGUGUAGUC
This 459-nucleotide ribosomal RNA is filed under the name uncultured bacterium. RNAcentral's name for it is "partial 16S ribosomal RNA". It matches the Rfam family "Bacterial small subunit ribosomal RNA", at positions 338 to 795 of the family's 1533-position model. The record is from RNAcentral.